UACGAAGGGGGCUAGCGUUGCUCGGAAUCACUGGGCGUAAAGGGUGCGUAGGCGGGUCUUUUAAGUCAGGGGGUGAAAUCCUGGAGCUCAACUCCAGAACUGCCUUUGAUACUGAAGAUCUUGAGUCCGGGAGAGGUGAGUGGAACUGCGAGUGUAGAGGUGAAAUUCGUAGAUAUUCGCAAGAACACCAGUGGCGAAGGCGGCUCACUGGCCCGGUACUGACGCUGAGGCACGAAAGCGUGGGGAGCAAACAGG
Molecule: ribosomal RNA, 255 nt
Filed under: uncultured bacterium
Lineage: Bacteria
Description: partial 16S ribosomal RNA
Rfam family: Bacterial small subunit ribosomal RNA
Source: RNAcentral